AAAAGCUUAAGUGCAGGGAGGUUCAGAUUGGGGAUGGCUUCAGAGAUGAAAUUGUUUUGGAGGCACAACGUAGUGAGGCGUGUAAGAUUCUGGAUUUUGGUUGGAAUGCUUCCGGAAAAGGAGUUGAAGGAGAAGUCCAAGACAAUGAGGUUGGGAGGCAGAGAGGCAGGAAGCAUGCCGGAGAAAUUAUUGUGUUGGAGGUAAAGGUACUCCAAGGAAGGAAUGGAUAGGAUAUCAGAAGGCAGACUUCCAUAGAGGAAGUUGGAGCGGAGGCUGAGGACUUGAAGAGUAUGAAGCUUCCCUAUACUGUUGGAAGGGAUGGAACCGAAAAGUCCAAUCCCCGGAAGAUGGAUGGCAGUCACUCGUUUUGUUUAGAUUGCAAGUGAUUCCAACCCAAGACAUGCAAACUGGCGUGGAAGCAUUCCAGUUGAGUUUUCGGAUGUGGACAACGGUGGCAGCAAAGUUGAGGAGGGCUUGUCUAUCCGAGUUCAGGUCAGAAAAAACUGAGGAAGGGAAAGGCGGAAUAAGGAAAAGGAAGAUAAGCGUGCAAAUGGAGACCUGAAGCUUCAUGAUUUUCUGCUUAGAAAGAAAAUGAUACAAUUAGAAAACUCCGAAAACAAAGUUAAGAAUCAUGCAGAAGGGAUACAGAUAGCAGCGAAAAUUCAUCUACAUUUCGGGUUUAGGAUGGCAAAGAGUGGCAAAGAACCACUCAAUGACUUGGGAAAAUCCCAGAGGAUUGAUCACAACUGUGUUUGAAAAGUGUUGUGCUAGAUAAAACGCCUCGCUUUAUGCCUUAGCGAUUUCAAACUUCGGAUCAAACACAACCCAAACAAAAAGGUGAUAAAAGAAAACCCACUCAACUCAGCAUCAAAGGUCACAUAACUUGAGACAGAUUCCAUUAGGGAUAAAUAAAUAUGCUAGCUAGCCUGUCUUAAUUCUUAUGAUUUGAAUUUCUUUCAAAAAAUUACAGUGGUUGUUCAAAUACGAAUUCGACGCAUUUUUACCUACUAGGAAAGCACAGAAGAUUAAAAACAAAAACAUGGAUUAGUGAAAAGUAAUCUCUAUAUUUAGACGGAUUAAUCAUGGGUUUUUUUUUCUUUUUUUUUUCUUUCUCAAAUCUAAUUAUUACACACAUAAUUAAGCUAAUAACAUUAUAUAGGACACACCAAUAUCAACUUUAUUUGUUCAUUAAUACUUAUAAAGUCAUUACACUAGAAUUUUCUUUCAAAGAAAAUUCUAGUGUAUUGACUUUAUAAGUAUUAAUGGCUUUGGUAUUAAUUAAUGAACAAAUAAAGUUGAUAUUGGUGUGUCGUCUAUAAUGUCAUUAGCUUAAUUAUGUGUGUAAUAAUUAGAUUUAAGAAAAAAAAAAAAAAGAAAAAAAAACCAUGAUUCCAAACCUCCACAAACCACAAACAUGAUUUCAACCAAAUUUCUUCUUCUACUCCGCCAACACCAACUUCAGCCCAUCUUUGCUUUUCACCGAGCAAGCUGCAUUGUAGUCCGCCAUUGGAAUAUUAGCAUACUUGUCUGCCAGUUGCACCGCAAGCUCAUCCUUCUGAUCCCACCGCUUCCUUGCGGAUUGGGAGCUUCUUGCUCUGGAGCCUUCUGUGGGGCAGAUUGAGAUGUGCUCGCCCCAUGGUGGGUCGGUGCUACCAUUAAGGCUUUCCCAAGACUCUCUACAUGCGCAUUGAUAGAUUUGCGUGUCUCUGCGGACUCCUUGGAGAUCAAAGAUCGUAGUGCUGCUAUCUCUCUAGAAACUAGCACGCUGAGAUUGUUGAAUCUGUCCAGCAGUUGUUUUGAGAUUUCUCGCUCUGAUGCAAAUUGAACAUUAAGGCGCUCGACUGUCUGGGUGAGGGUGUUAACAAUUCCCUCAAGUUUGUUUGCUGCAGACAAUUGGUUUGCGAGAAGGACAGCUGACAGGUAUAUCGAUACCUCGGAUUGACCCCAAUCUGUAGGGCUUGCACAGUUGAGAGUCCACAUGUUCUGGAUAUGCAGAUGGUCUAGCAUGACUCCUUUCUCACUGGACAUGUUUAGAACCAUUGUCUCAAAUUCUCCUUUAUUCCCCCUUGAUGGGGUCUUCUUGUAGGUGGGAUCUGGAUCUCGAGGUUGUCCAAAGAAGUCAAAAGCAAUUCCCUUUGGGUCGGUAGGAGGUAAGACUGACUGGGAUGGAUUUGCCGCAGGAGGUGUCGGUGUGACUUGACUCUCUGUAGGAUUGUUGACAGGUAUCCCAUACAUGCUGACUGGAAACUCGCUGGUUGACGAGACAGGGCGAUCCGCAGUUGCAGAGCUUGAAGUGGGCUGCCCAAUCUGAGGAGAGGUUACCACCGGAGGAGUGGUUGGUGGCAGGUGCGGAGCACUGCCAGGGGCUGUUGUAUUAGGAGGAACCGGGUCUUGAUCUUGCCAGUUGAAUAAAGGACUUGAUACAUCAGGCGCUAGCGUUAUCUGAGGAUACGAAAUCUGGCCUUGUUUGACUGCGUCCAGCUUCUCCAUCAUUUCCUUUAGGACUUGUGCUGCAGCGCUUUCGUCUUCAGCAGUCGACAUCCUUCUUGACCAAUAAAUAAAAUUCUCAACAAGAUACAAAACUUGACAGGUAGAACACUAACGGUGUUCCUCCUCAUUAAUCAUGGGUUUAAAUUAACUGGAAAAUUUCAUGGUUCAAACAUAUAGAGGAAAAAGGAAUGGCAUCUCUACCAACUUUUGUAAAUUGGGAAAAGGCAAAAUGCACCAUCUUUAGUCAAAAGAAAAAGAAAUAAAGAAAAGAGAGCUUGAUCAUCACCAAAAUAUAAGCUACAGUGAACCUUUUCCCCUAAAAGAAAAAAAUUAUACACUUCAAAGUUUAACACAAGUGGGAAAAGCAAUCAAAUAUACAAAGCAAAAUGGUGACAAAGAUGGAAUCCAAGAAGAUAAUCUUCCUAAAGAAAAAGGAAAAGAAAAACUAACGAAAAUAAUUUGAAAACUUUGAGUUUUAACAAAAAUGUGUAUAAGUGAAUAGUAUCAGAAGUGACUUUUUAGAGUACAAAUAUUAUUUUCGUUAAACGUGAAUAAUACCGGAAGUGUUUUGUUAAAACUCCCGAAUUUUACAUGAUUUAGUUGCCUUUUGUUGCAGGUUUGCUAAAAAAAGAACGUUACUUGGUUCUUUACCUGUAACGAGUCAUUCAUUUUAAACUGUCAAUCAUUUGCUGAUACAUAUACACAAUUGGAGAAGCACGAAAAGAAACGUUACUGCUGCUAAACUGUAAAUUGAACAAUCCCGAAUUCUUACAGGUAAGAAGCCAAGUAAUUUCCACGACGUAAUUUUAACUUGGGAUGAUCAUUCAUGCAUUUUGAGCCAAAGUGUUCCUGCAGAUCUUACAAAACAAAAGUAAACUUAGUAAAGAACAAUGCCAGAAAUAUCAACUCAGAAAUAUACAAAUACACUGAUGCGCUAUAGAACUGUGGAAAAGAAGAACUUGUAUCUAAAAUUUAAUCAUAUGUGGCUCAGAAAAAAAAUCUACCUGAAAAUCUGAUCAAUCUGUCACAGAUUUCCGUGCUACUUGAAAGUCAAGGUGUGUGAAAAUAGUUGAAGAGGCUGAGAGUGAGUGAGACACCAGUUUCUUGCACUUACUUUUCUCAGGACGAAAACCAAUGGAAAAUGAACUUAUUAUUUAAAUAAAACGGGAAUAUAAUUUUUAUUUUCCCCUUAGUUUAAUGAAAAUAAUAAUAAAUAUACCAUAAUUGAUAGAGAAACGGAAUUUUUUGAUAAAUUAGUGAUUUUUUUUUCAUUUUAAAAAGGGGAUAAGUGGGUGCCAAAGUUAUAGCAGUCUAUUAUUUUAGGAGUUGUGAAGACUCACAAAACAUUUUAACCUCUCUUGAUCACCAUCUUGUAGAUCACCAACGUAAAAAAUCAAACUUAGAACGAGUUGUAUAGAAUCAGGACUAGAAUUCGCUCCGACCACUGAACCACCACGUAGUAAUUAAUGAAUUGGUGAUUGGAGGGUAAGAAUGUGAGGUAUGGAAUAUAAAGAAAAUAAUUAAAAUAUUAUUAAAUAGAGGGGUCAAUUUAUUCUUCAACAGUGACGUCGGCAAUUAUAUAUAGGAAUAACAAACCAGAAAAGCUAAAUGCAGCUUUAAUAUAAAAUAGAUAAAUAAAUAUACUGCAAUGGGGAACAGAAUCCAUGGAAGCAUGCAUCACUCAGAGUAAGGACUGAGGAGAGUUGGAAUAGGGACUGGAGGGAGAGCAAACUGCUCCCAUGUCAUUGUCCUGCCUCUUACUCGUCAUUUUAUUUGGUAUUGGUUAGGAGUUGGGACAAAUCAUUGUUGCACAAUUCUUGCCACAAAACUCGCAUACUGUGCGCGAAGAGAUAAAUUUUGGUAGGACUGUGGGAUUGGGGUAGUUCUCACAUUAAGUACCAGCUUGGUAUUGUUGAAAUUUUAAACAAAACUGGCAUGCGUUUAAGUAUUUGGCAAACAUUUUAAAUUGGUUUUUUUUUUCUUCACAAUUUUAGGUAAAAAAAAAUCAAAAAACUGGAACUGUAAAGACAGUUUUAGAAAACAGUUAUUUUCAUCUCAUUAACGGGUGAACAGUAACAUUUAAAAUGAAUUUUUCAAGAUUACAAUUAUGCCCUCCUUUCUCUAUACGCUAUCAGUCUCGAACCAGAUCUGAAAUUUGGGGCAUCCUAAGUGGAUUAGUGAGAGGGUCAAGUGUGACCAAAAUACAUGAUUUCUCUUUUUUUUUUUUUUUGAGAGGUGCCUUAUAUAUGAUUUUGAGAAGCAUCCUACAUAUGACGUGAUCAGACCAAUUUUUUUCUCUAGUAGAAGGGCUUGUCCAAGACAAAACCUUUUAAAAAAAAUUAAGAUUCACACAUCUUUAGUUACUAUUUCAAAUGUUUUUUUUUAAGAAACACGAGUGCUUAUCUUUUAUUAGAAACACGUCAAAAUUUUCAUAAAAAUUUAAGUGCUUUAAAGAGCCCCUUCUUCAAACGGUAUUACAAGCGUGAUUGGUUUUAUAAAAGUAAUGUUGGAGAUUGUGAUGCUGAAAACACAAUAGCAUUGAACAUUAUUUCCAAAUUUCCAAUUGCAUUCCAAAAACAAGAUGACAAUGCUUAAACAGAAAAAGAAAAGAAAAUAAAAUAAAAUAAAGAGUACUGGAUUUUUUUCAUGGGGUUUGCACAUUAAAUUCCGACUCGGAGGAUUGCCUAGUUUUGGUGUCGGAUUGCCGGAGUUCCUCUAUCAUUCUGACUACGUCAUCCAUGUUGGGGCGUGUUUCGGGCAAUUUUGUUACGCAUGCCAGAGCAAUCUGCAGCAUCUGCACCAUCUCUUCUUCACUGUGUUGCUGUUUUAGAAGUUCCAAAUCAAAAACCUCAGCUGUCCACUCCUCACGCACAACAGACUUAACCCAACGCGGGAGAUCAACCACGCAGUCAUAACCUGGAUAUUGAAGCGUGGUUUUGCCUGUCAGCAUUUCUAAGAGGAGCACACCAAAGCUAUAGACAUCAGAUUUGUGAGUGAUUUUCCGCAUGUCAGUUGCCUCGGGAGCGCGAUAUCCCAUGGCCCGGGACAUGGCUGGAGGGAAGUUCAUUAGAGGACUCAACCCUACGUCUGAGAUGCAAGCCUCGAGUUCUUGGGUGAGGAGGACGUUUGUGGACUUUAUAUUGCCAUGGCUAGAUUUUGCACCCUCGGAAUGAAUGUGGGCAAGUCCCUUGGCAAUCCCGAGCGAAAUCUUUACUCUUGAAUCCCAGUCUAGUGGAGACCUCCCAGCAUCACUGCUUCCUACAAAUUCAUCGGAACAACAACAACAACAAAGCCUUAUCCAUCGAAACAACGAAAAUAAAUUAAAGUAAAUAUAAUCAGACAUUAGGAUUUAGAUUAGGCAUCAUACCAUGCAAGUGUGCAAACAAGCUUCCUGUUGGAAUGUAGUUGUACACCAAAAGCUUCUCAUCUUUCGAAAAAUAAUAAGCGCGAGGAGGCAGGACAUUUGGGUGCUUCCCUACCUUCUCCACCAGCUCCAUAUGCUGCUCAAACUCCCUCUUCCCCACCACAACUUCCCUCAACCGCUUCACCACAACCGUUGUUUCCUCAUCCAAUACAGCUUUGUAAGUUGUUCCGAAACUUCCUUUGCCGAGAACUUCAGCUGACGCUCUCAGCAGAUCCUCAAGAUCAAAAUUGAAAUAGCAACCUUCAAAGAAGAACAGCUUGUUCUUCUCAGCUUCUUGCACUCCACUCCCAAAAUCCUUAGGCAUCUCACCCUUUCCAUCACCCGCAGCCUUCCCUUUCAACAUCCCGCCACCUACUUUGUUAGUCCUUUUCCAGCAGCAUAUGACAACCACCAGAACUAGAAGAAUAAACACUGCAGAGCACCCAAAUGCCAUGGCAAUAAUGGAUCCCGGGCUGAGUUUUUUUAUGAGUGUAGCAUGGUGAUUUUUCAGAAUGGUUGGCGAGGGUGGCAAGAAAGCAGAGGAUGCAGAAGGGGUAGAGGAGGUGGUUUUAGAACAAUUGUUGAGAGGUUCUCCACAUAACUGAGGAUUCCCAACAAAUGAAGAGUUCGAAUAUUUUUCGAGGGAAUAUGGAACCGAGCCAUUCAAGUUAUUGUAGCUCAAAUUCAAAAGCUUAAGUGCGGGGAGGUUCAGAUUGGGGAUGGCUCCAGAGAUGAAAUUGUUUUGGAGGUACAACGUAGUGAGGCGUGUAAGAUUCUGGAUUUUAGUUGGAAUGCUUCCGGAAAAGGAGUUGAAGGAGAAGUCCAAGACAACGAGGUUGGGAGGCAGAGAGGCAGGUAGCAUGCCGGAGAAAUUAUUGUGUUGGAGGUAAAGGUACUCCAAGGAAGGAAUGGAUAGGAUAUCAGAAGGCAGACUUCCAUAGAGGAAGUUUGAGCGGAGGCUGAGGACUUGAAGAGCAUGAAGCUUCCCUAUACUGUUGGAAGGGAUGGAACCGAAAAGUCCAAUCCCCGGAAGAUGGAUGGCAGUCACACUCGUUUUGUUUAGAUUGCAUGUGAUUCCAACCCAAGACGUGCAAACUGG
This 6992-nucleotide long non-coding RNA is filed under the name Malus domestica (apple). RNAcentral's name for it is "long non-coding RNA (MDOM_LNC001118)". Lineage: Eukaryota; Viridiplantae; Streptophyta; Magnoliopsida; Rosales; Rosaceae. The record is from RNAcentral.